UGCUUCUAUGGCAAGAUAUAUACUAAAAUUAUUAAACUAUAGAGAAGAUUAGCCUGACCCCUAAAUAAGAAUGGCAGUCAGAUUCAUGAAGCAUUCCACAUUUUA
Protopterus annectens (West African lungfish) is the source of this 105-nucleotide small nuclear RNA. Lineage: Eukaryota; Metazoa; Chordata; Ceratodontiformes; Protopteridae. The record is from RefSeq and is a predicted model, not a curated record.